Long non-coding RNA from Patiria miniata (bat star), 1294 nucleotides. RefSeq lists it as uncharacterized. The transcript has 3 exons. Lineage: Eukaryota; Metazoa; Echinodermata; Asteroidea; Valvatida; Asterinidae. The record is from RefSeq and is a predicted model, not a curated record.
AAGCCAUGAACCACAAAUCAGCAUGUUUCCUUCCAGUUUCCAAUGAGCACUCUGACAGCAUCACUUAGCAUGCCAGUAUUCAACAUUGUGCAGAUCAUCUCUGUAAAGAUGGCUGUGUUGCUUCAGUUGCCACAUCUCUACGUAUGUUCUUCCUGUUAGCAAAGGCACACUGUGACAGCAUCCACUUUCUACAUGCUAAUACAUGCACAGUAUUGUUCAGGGAAAGACAUAUGCAAACCUAUCAGCUUCCAAAGUCGGCAACAUCCUGCUGUCACUACAGUCUCAGCACCUACCAGCUCCCACUCUGUCAGCAACAUCCUGCUGUCACAUGUCCAGCUACCGGUACUUGAAGUUACUGUGUGCUUGUACAUUCUCAGCACCUACUAGCUCUCACUCUGUCAGCAACAUCCUGCUGUCACAUGUCCAGCUAUUGGUACUCGGAGUUACUAUUUGCUUAUACUUUCUCAGCACCUACCAGCUCCCACUCUGUCAGCAACAUCCUGUCCAGCUACCGGCACUUGGAGUUAUAGUGUGCUUGUACAUUCUCAGCACCUACUAGCUCCCACUCUGUCAACAACAUCCUGCUGUCACACCUCCAGAUAUGUGGAGUUAUUGUGCUUUUACAGUCUCAGCCAGUAUUGGAUUGCAAGUUGUCUUAUGCUGCUACAACCUACACAUUUAGCAUUCUCUUGAACCUUGAGGAACCACCAUAUGAACAAAGAGACAGUCUCUGAAACACUCAUAAUAAACCUGUCACGGUGGUUUGUUGAACAUUCGUAUUAUUUGGAGGACUUGCAAUAAGCUCAUAUAGUCAACUAGCUAUUCCAGUCCUCUGGAAUUUGCUUGAGGUUAUUCUAUACUAGUAGCAAGCCUUUUUUGUGCACGGUCAAGAGUAGAUCGAGAAAGCAGUUGUUUUUAAGGGCAAAACAAUUGUUCUUGUUCCUUGAAAAAGUUGGUCAAAACAUUUUCCCAACCAUUUUUUUAUUUAAACAGUAAGAUAAAGGGCAACGAGGACUGUUUAAUGCCAUUUCUACAUGGUAGAAAAACAAUUCAAUGCUAAUUUUUAUCCAAGAUAUUCAAAGUUUUGGUGUUAUUGGCAAAGAGAGUACCCGCAAGAGUGGUUGUGACAUGUACAUGCAAAACUGUUUGCAAUGAUUAUGCUAUUAUUAUGAUAAAAAUGGUGCAAAGUACGGCGUUAAAAUGGGCUCUCUCCUUGUACAUAGCACAAUACAUAAGUGAUUGUGAUCAUAAAUGUAUUGAAUUACAUAAAAUACAAUUGUGGAUAAAUAUUUGG